RNAcentral lists this long non-coding RNA (1475 nucleotides) under Mus pahari (shrew mouse). Its description in RNAcentral is "lncRNA (MGP_PahariEiJ_G0004847.1)". Lineage: Eukaryota; Metazoa; Chordata; Mammalia; Rodentia; Muridae. The record is from RNAcentral.
GACAGAAGGUAGGGUUUGGGGGGAGAGCCUGUCUUGUGGCAAAGGGUUUUUUGUAACAUAAGAAAGAAUCAGAAACUUCGAUGUACAAAAGAGCUUUUAAUCAAAAUGAAUGGGGACUGAGGUUGGGACUCAGUGGAUAGUGUAAUCAGUUAGAAUGCAAGAAGCCCUGGGUUUGAUUCCCAGUACCACAAAAAAACAAAACAAAACAAACAAAAAAAAAAAACAGGCAUUGUGAUGGUUUUUAUGUGCUUGGCCCUGAGAGUGGCACUAUCAGAAUGUGUGGCCCUGUGGGAGUAGGUGUGACCUUGUUAGAGUAUGUGUGUCACUGUGGGCAGGGGCUUUAAGACCCUCAUCCUAGCUGCCUGGAAGCAAGUAUUCUGCUAGCAGCCUUCAGAUGAAGAUGGAGAACUCUCAGCUCCUCCUGCACCACGCCUGCCUGGAUGCUGCCAUGCUCACACCUCGAUGAUAAUGACCUGAACCUCUGAACCUGUUCCUCCUCCAGGUCAGAGCCCUUUCAGUCAGAAGUCUGCUUCCUGGGAGCCUGAACCACAGAACUGUGGCUGAAAUCCAGACAGCUGACGUCACCUGUCCAGAUGGCGGAAACUGUUGCUCAACAAAAGGAAAUUGAUGCCAAUCCCUUACUUCUCUGUGACCCUCCCUCUCUCACCCCCUCCCCCUCUCUCUGAGCCCAGAAAAGUGUUUUCCUAGACAGAAGGAAGCUGAGCAGUCUGGGGAAAUAGCUUUGGCCUUGACCUCAUGCCCGCUGCCACGUGUGGAGUUCAAGGCUGGUUACUUCAGCUGACAAAUGUUGCAAGGCUGAGCCCUGGAUGCCCAGUCAGAAGAUCAAGCUUUAGAAACAAAGGCUGAAUCCCUGUCUUUUGGUUUAGAGAACUGCCCCACUCACUUCACUGGAGUUUGAAGCUCUUUCCUUCUUUGAGCCUGCUGUGAGGUUGGCUCACUGGCACUCAGUAACCCACACUUUUCUCACCAGUCCCUGAAUGAUCUUCUUCAAUGUAUCUUGGCAGCACCCAAGACAGACAUUUAAUAGAGACCAUUGCAGGUUGGGAGGCUGAGGCAAGUUCAGGACCAGCCUGAGCCACAUAGGAAACCUUGUCUCAACCCUUUUUCCUGGUCCCUCAAAAAAAUAAAUUAAUCUAAAUACAUAGGAGGCAGAAACAGGCAGAUCUCUUGUGAGUUUAAGGUCAACUGGGUCUACGCAAUUAGUCCCUGUCUCAAAAGAUGGAAAAAGAAGAGAAAAGCCUUCCCCCUUCCCGGCAUAACCAAUCUGUGGUGAGAGAAGCGGAAGCUGUGGCUGUCUGGUCGGAGGAGGAAAGGGGUGCUGCAUAGUGAUUGGAAAGAGGAAGGGGAGACGUCCCUGGAUGCUAUCGCAGCAGGGAAAGCCUCACCAGCUGCACACUUAAGAUUCGCAUGCUGUGCUGUGCCUCAGUGAAUUAAACAACAAAGGGCAAAUAAAC